Trichechus manatus latirostris (Florida manatee) is the source of this 560-nucleotide non-coding RNA. Lineage: Eukaryota; Metazoa; Chordata; Mammalia; Sirenia; Trichechidae. The record is from the annotation of a RefSeq genome assembly.
AUGAGGUUCCCUGCUCAGCUGCUGGGGCUGUUAAUGCUCUGGAUCCCUGCAUCCAGUGGGGAUAUUGUGAUGACUCAGACUCCACUCUCCCUGCCCAUCACUCUUGGAGAGCCUGUCACCAUUGCCUGCAAGUCGAGUCAGAGCCUCCUACACAGUGAUGGGUACAGCUAUUUGAACUGGUACCAGCAGAAACCAGGCCAGCCUCAACGGUUCCUGAUCUAUUGGGUUUCCAACCAGUUCUCUGGGGUCCCAGAUAGGUUCAUUGGCAGUGGGUCAGGAACAGAUUUCACUCUUAAAAUCAGCAGGGUGGAGGCUGAGGAUGUUGCAGUUUAUUACCACCAGAAAGUUAUACAAAGCCCUCCGGCAGUGGUACAGCCCUGCAUGCAAACCUCCUGCUUGAUGUGGCCCAGCUGCUCCAGUGUGUGGCCUAUGUGGUGAGCAGGCCCAUCAGAUUCUUUGAGUCUGCUUGAGAGGAAGAUGCUAGAGAACUGCGGGGAAUGGGUUGCAGCUGAGGACUCUGGACCAUGAGAGCCUUGGCUACAGCUCAGGCGUCACCCGUU